RNAcentral lists this microRNA (23 nucleotides) under Solanum tuberosum (potato). RNAcentral's name for it is "stu-miR1886i-3p". Lineage: Eukaryota; Viridiplantae; Streptophyta; Magnoliopsida; Solanales; Solanaceae. The record is from miRBase by way of RNAcentral.
UUUACGUUGAUUUCAUCUCAUGA